CAGUCGCCACGGUAAUACGGAGGGCGCGAGCGUUACCCGGAUUUACUGGGCGUAAAGGGCGUGUAGGCGGCCUGGGGCGUCCCAUGUGAAAGGCCACGGCUCAACCGUGGAGGAGCGUGGGAUACGCUCAGGCUAGAGGGUGGGAGAGGGUGGUGGAAUUCCCGGAGUAGCGGUGAAAUGCGCAGAUACCGGGAGGAACGCCGAUGGCGAAGGCAGCCACCUGGUCCACUUCUGACGCUGAGGCGCGAAAGCGUGGGGAGCAAACCGGAUUAGAUACCCGCGUAGUCCCUGUCUCUUAUAC
RNAcentral lists this ribosomal RNA (301 nucleotides) under uncultured bacterium. RNAcentral describes it as "partial 16S ribosomal RNA". It matches the Rfam family "Bacterial small subunit ribosomal RNA", at positions 509 to 807 of the family's 1533-position model. The record is from RNAcentral.